AUAAUGGCUGAUCUCUUAGGAUACGCCAGAAUGUUUCAGCUCACUACCUGCUACUGAGCAACAUCAGAGAAGCAGGUAGCUCUGCCUGGAGGCUGCCAUCCCCUCACAGAUACUUAAUUAAAAGCAGAAAUGGCAAGACGAUAUCAGAGGCCUCGCAGCAGAGGACGCUCCCGGCGGAGGCGAAGAAGCAAAGGCAGGAGACAAAGAAGAAGGCAAAGGAGGAGGACAAGGACAAGAGGCAAGAGAUACCAUUGCAGAAGACGAGUGGUUUACUGAGAUCCAGCCUCCUCUGCCAAGCGUUGCAGCAUCAACUGCCUGACAAACAAUUCUGCUUUCUGGGAAGCCUGGAAUAGGAGCAGCCAGUUAACACACAAUAAACGGGCCUGGAUGCAA
This is a long non-coding RNA of Coturnix japonica (Japanese quail), 393 nucleotides long. RefSeq lists it as uncharacterized. Lineage: Eukaryota; Metazoa; Chordata; Aves; Galliformes; Phasianidae. The record is from RefSeq and is a predicted model, not a curated record.